UACGGAGGGUGCAAGCAUUAAUCGGAUUUAUUGGGCGUAAAGGGCGCGUAGGCGGAAAUGCAAGUUAGGAGUGAAAUUCCGGAGCUCAACUUCGGAGGUGCUUUUAAAACUGCAUAUCUUGAGGGUAGGCGGAGAAAACGGAAUUCCAUGUGUAGCGGUGAAAUGCGUAGAUAUAUGGAAGAACACCUGUGGCGAAAGCGGUUUUCUAGCUUAUUCCUGACGCUGAGGCGCGAGAGCAAGGGGAGCAAACAGG
This 253-nucleotide unclassified non-coding RNA is filed under the name uncultured Chlamydiales bacterium. RNAcentral's name for it is "contains 16S-23S intergenic spacer region". It matches the Rfam family "Bacterial small subunit ribosomal RNA", at positions 524 to 776 of the family's 1533-position model. Lineage: Bacteria; Pseudomonadati; Chlamydiota; Chlamydiia; Chlamydiales. The record is from RNAcentral.